Molecule: ribosomal RNA, 374 nt
Filed under: uncultured organism
Description: partial 16S ribosomal RNA
Rfam family: Bacterial small subunit ribosomal RNA
Source: RNAcentral
UGAGGGUGCAAGCGUUGUUCGGAAUUAUUGGGCGUAAAGAGCGUGUAGGCGGUCCGGUAAGUCAGAUGUGAAAGCCCUGGGCUCAACCCAGGAAGUGCAUUUGAAACUACCAGACUUGAGUACGGGAGAGGAGGGGGGAAUUCCCGGUGCAGAGGUGAAAUUCGUAGAUAUCGGGAGGAAUACCAGUGGCGAAGGCGCCCCUCUGGACCGAUACUGACGCUGAGACGCGAAAGCGUGGGGAGCAAACAGGGAUUAGAUACCCUGGUAGUCCACGCCGUAAACGAUGAGCACUAGGUGUAGCGGGUAUUGACCCCCGUGCUGUGCCGUAGCUAACGCAUUAAGUGCUCCGCCUGGGGACUACGGUCGCAAGACUA